This 497-nucleotide ribosomal RNA is filed under the name uncultured bacterium. RNAcentral's name for it is "partial 16S ribosomal RNA". It matches the Rfam family "Bacterial small subunit ribosomal RNA", at positions 28 to 507 of the family's 1533-position model. The record is from RNAcentral.
GAUGAACGCUGGCGGCGUGCCUAAUACAUGCAAGUCGAGCGAACGGACGAGAAGCUUGCUUCUCUGAUGUUAGCGGCGGACGGGUGAGUAACACGUGGAUAACCUACCUAUAAGACUGGGAUAACUUCGGGAAACCGGAGCUAAUACCGGAUAAUAUUUUGAACCGCAUGGUUCAAAAGUGAAAGACGGUCUUGCUGUCACUUAUAGAUGGAUCCGCGCUGCGUUAGCUAGUUGGUAAGGUAACGGCUUACCAAGGCAACGAUGCAUAGCCGACCUGAGAGGGUGGUCGGCCACACUGGAGCUGGGACACGGUCCAGACUCCUACGGGAGGCAGCAGUAGGGAAUCUUCCGCAGAGGGCGAAAGCCUGACGGAGCAACGCCGCGUGAGUGAUGAAGGUCUUCGGAUCGUAAAACUCUGUUAUUAGGGAAGAACAUAUGUGUAAGUAACUGUGCACAUCUUGACGGUACCUAAUCAGAAAGCCACGGCUAACUACGUG